Molecule: long non-coding RNA, 204 nt
Filed under: Gallus gallus (chicken)
Lineage: Eukaryota; Metazoa; Chordata; Aves; Galliformes; Phasianidae
Source: RNAcentral
CAGCAUAGGCAGCAGGACGAUUCCUCCAGCAUUGCUUGGUUGGCAAGCACUCGUCAAACCGCUUGGAUUUCACCUGCAUUUGCAUCCCUGGUUCUGUCUCUGCAUCCCUGGCCCUGCUUUCCUCCAGCAAUUUGGAGGCUGUAGGCCCACUGCAGUACAGCAGCUCUGGGGAAACUGCUGUUGCUGCACUGUGAUGGGUCCUCA